CUCAGCCCUAGAGGCGGUGCAGUGCAGGUAAAGGAGCCGGCUGCCUGGCAACCCACUUUGGAUCUUAAACCCCUGGCCAGGCACCCAACGUUCUGCCCUCAGCAGCCAGGUGUCCAGCUCCUUGAGUCCGCCCCCCACACAUCUGAUCUGUCUCCCAAGUCCGGUAGCUUGAAAUCUCUUUCUGAGAGUGUGCUUUUCUCAUCUGUUAAGUGGGGGAUCGGGACACGGAAUUGAUCCACUUGGUUCCUUCCGCAAAGUGGAUGGGAACGAGAGGACCCGUCAAUCGCAAAGACGCAAAACCAAACCAGCAGAGGAAGGGUCCCCUUAAUUCUGUGGGAGGAAGCAGAGCAAGACAGCUGAGAUGUUGGGAGGUGGGGCCUCGGCAGCCUGGAUCUCUUUGGAUGUAAAAUACGAUAAGUAACACCUUCUCUUUGGGAUUGUUGGAAGACCAAAAGGACAAUGUGGGGAUUUGCCGACCCGGCCCACGGUGGGUGCCCAAGGAUGGCAGGCAAGUUUUGAAGCCCGGUUCUUGGGGGAGUCUAACUAGUUUUUAUAUUGGAUCCAGUCCUAGCUGGGCAGGAAACUUGCUGUCCAGCACACAAACCCUGAUAUUCUUUCGAGCCCCGGGAUCCCGAACGCGGUCGGGGCGGGAGGUUGGGGGGGGGGGGCAGGCACUCUGCUGGCCCUUGCAACUGCCUUGAUCACCUGUAACUAUCCAGGGUUUUCAGGCUGGCUUGGGGUAACACCGCCCAGCCCCAUCAAAGAAAUGCAGCGUGAACAGUCCCACACCUCUUGGCUCCUGUCUCUCAAGGAACAUGCAAGUGAAUCUAAUUAAUGACCUUCAGUAUCUUCUGUGCUUUUUUAUUAUCCCAUCCACAGUUCCUGGAGCCUUCCGGUCACUUACAAUUCAAACAAAAGAAACACCAAAAAGCUAGCUCGUGUGUCAUGGGCUCCUUUUCUCUGUCUCGGCACCAGAAGGUUCUAGAAACCGUUUGCAGACUCUCCUCAGGGACUCAGAAGGUCAGGGCGAGAGAAGGGUGGAGAGAAAUUGGGUUGCAUGUAUCGGUAGUGAGAGUGGAGAUCCUGAGGAAUAUAUCUGCUGCUUCUGCCGGUCUCUCUCCCUCAGUCAUCAAGUGCCGUCGCCGAGCACUUCUCAAACGGUCCCGAACGCACACGCACACGCACACACACAAACACACACGCCAGGAGAGUCUUGUUAACAAGCCCGUGGUCCUGCGUUUCCAGCAUGCUCACGGGACCCUAAUGCUGCUGAUCUGGAGACCUCGCUUUGAGCAGCGAGACUGCGGGUGGCGUCUGAACCUGACGGUCCGUGGGCUAUUAUUCCGUAUAGGAUGCCGGGACGGCUGGGUAGCCAUCCAGAAAAAGUAACGUCAGACUUAUACUCCCAAUUCCUGCACUAGGACGGAUACGAAGAAGUGUGAUCUGUGCUCGAGGUGGAAAUGCAAAAUGAUGAACAAUUGAAAGGACAACGGGCAAAGAAUAGAGACACUCAGUAACUUGACCAAACUCACAAGAAGCCGGUGCGUGAACCGGAAUGAGAAACCAUUAAUCUGCAAUGGGAAAUACUCCUUUGCGAUGACAGAACACGCAUGUCUGCCAUCCCAGGCACCUCGCUGCACAGAUCAAGAUGCCCGUGACGUUCCGUGAGGGAGCCCGGUGGGGCGCCUGGCUGGCUCCGUCAGAAGAGCAUGGGACUCUCGAUGAUCUCAGGGUCGUGAGUUCAGACCCCAUGUUGGGCAUGGAGCCUACUUUAAAUAAAUAAAUAAAUAAAUAAAUAAAUAAAUAAAUA
Molecule: long non-coding RNA, 1810 nt
Filed under: Felis catus (domestic cat)
Lineage: Eukaryota; Metazoa; Chordata; Mammalia; Carnivora; Felidae
Description: lncRNA (ENSFCAG00000046145.2)
Source: RNAcentral